RNAcentral lists this ribosomal RNA (445 nucleotides) under uncultured bacterium. RNAcentral describes it as "partial 16S ribosomal RNA". It matches the Rfam family "Bacterial small subunit ribosomal RNA", at positions 354 to 796 of the family's 1533-position model. The record is from RNAcentral.
GUGAGGAAUAUUGGUCAAUGGGCGGGAGCCUGAACCAGCCAAGUCGCGUGAAGGAAGAAGGAUCUAUGGUUCGUAAACUUCUUUUGCAGGGGAAUAAAGUGCAGGACGUGUCCUGUUUUGUAUGUACCCUGAGAAUAAGGAUCGGCUAACUCCGUGCCAGCAGCCGCGGUAAUACGGAGGAUCCGAGCGUUAUCCGGAGUUAUUGGGUUUAAAGGGUGCGUAGGUGGUUUGAUAAGUCAGCGGUGAAAGUUUGCAGCUUAACUGUAAACAUGCCGUUGAAACUGUCGGACUUGAGUGUAAAUGAGGUAGGCGGAAUGCGUGGUGUAGCGGUGAAAUGCAUAGAUAUCACGCAGAACUCCGAUUGCGAAGGCAGCUUACUAAGCUACAACUGACACUGAAGCACGAAAGCGUGGGGAUCAAACAGGAUUAGAUACCCGAGUAGUCC